AUCCGUUAUCAAUUCAGAGUACAAUACUGGUGCCGCAUAUUCCAUAUAUCAACGUUAUUGGAAGGGUUGUGGCAUUGAUGUAUUUCAAAAUAACUGGGAAAACAGACCCACCUGAAAUUAUACCACCAACUCCAAGAAAUGACCAGGAGUAUACCAUUUAUGUUGGGGGAGAUUUGCACGUCGAUGUAUACGCCAAAGCAUCAGCUGGCAGGCAUAUAGUGCGAUUUGAUUUCCUUCGACCAGAUGGAAAACCUGUCAAUCAAACGAGCAUUCUACCUGCACCUAA
Molecule: long non-coding RNA, 286 nt
Organism: Saccostrea cuccullata (small rock oyster)
Lineage: Eukaryota; Metazoa; Mollusca; Bivalvia; Ostreida; Ostreidae
Exons: 3
Source: RefSeq, a predicted model, not a curated record